UAACCUUGUUUGUGAAAGCAGGAUGAACGUACAGAAGUCAGCAGACGCCAUAGUACGCAAGUUGUUGCAACAGCUGCGGAAGGGC
Paenibacillus wynnii is the source of this 85-nucleotide non-coding RNA. Lineage: Bacteria; Bacillati; Bacillota; Bacilli; Caryophanales; Paenibacillaceae. The record is from Rfam.